UUUCUACGAGUUCCGCGGUCAGAUCAACGAGUUGGAGCGUCGGUUGGCGUCUGUGAUCACGCAAGCCUUCGACGACAGUACGACGGUG
This 88-nucleotide non-coding RNA is filed under the name uncultured Goniomonas sp. The record is from RNAcentral. Lineage: Eukaryota; Cryptophyceae; Goniomonadida; Goniomonadaceae.